This 264-nucleotide signal recognition particle RNA is filed under the name Planctomycetales bacterium. RNAcentral's name for it is "signal recognition particle sRNA large type". It matches the Rfam family "Bacterial large signal recognition particle RNA". From Rfam's summary of the family: The signal recognition particle (SRP) is a universally conserved ribonucleoprotein involved in the co-translational targeting of proteins to membranes. Archaeal SRP consists of a 7S RNA and homologues of the eukaryotic SRP19 and SRP54 proteins. Lineage: Bacteria; Pseudomonadati; Planctomycetota; Planctomycetia; Planctomycetales. The record is from RNAcentral.
UCGUGCUAGACGGGGAGCUAGCGGUGCCCUGUACCCGCAAUCCGCUAUAGCGGGGUUGAACUCCCUCCCGAGGCUCGCCUGGCUUGACACCGCCUCGGAGGAGCGGCGAUGAAGGCUGGGUCCUGCGCGGCAGAGAUCCACGAACCCCGUCAGGUCCGGAAGGAAGCAGCGGUAAGUGGCCUACUCUGGGUGCCGCAGGGGUUCCUGGCUGGAGCAGGCUGCCCGACUCAAGCCGGGUCAGACGUGUCGACGGAGGGUGCACGA